GCCUUCGUGGUGUAACUGAAAGCAUACUAGACGUGUAUUCGAUAGGUCCAGGGUUCGAGUCCCGGCGAAGGCA
Non-coding RNA from Stegodyphus mimosarum, 73 nucleotides. The record is from Rfam. NCBI's taxonomy places the organism in Eukaryota, Metazoa, Arthropoda, Arachnida, Araneae, Eresidae.